This 3681-nucleotide long non-coding RNA is filed under the name Mus musculus (house mouse). Its description in RNAcentral is "long non-coding RNA chr6:45203809-45207490". The record is from RNAcentral. Lineage: Eukaryota; Metazoa; Chordata; Mammalia; Rodentia; Muridae.
GAGAGGGUUGAUGUGAGAUUUGUGUGUGUGUGUAUGUGUGUGUGUGUGUGUGUGUGUGAAGGUGUAACUGGGAAUUGGGAUAUCAUUUGAGAUAUGAAUGAAUGCAGUGAGUAAUUAAAAAGAAAAAGAAAAAUAGAAGAAUAGAUUUGUUUAAUACUAGCCUAAGGCAUAAAUCAAUGAAGGAGUAUUCUAACCUUUUUUUUUUUUUUCAUUUCAGAGCAUUUUAAACUAAUGUUUUAACUGUUAGUACAUAUUAUGAAAAGUUUAGUGAUUUGGGGGGAAUUACUGAAUGUGCAAAAAAGUGGGGCUCUGCUUCCUUUGCAAAAUUUCCAAAACCUUUUUUAAUUGUUUGUUCAUUUUUGUCCAAUUCUGAAGUGUUCAUUUUUGUUUAUCUUAUUUUAUUAUUAUCCCUUAGAAGCCUUUAUGUUUUAUAGUGAGAGACAAAACUGGGGUAGGUCCAGAUGGGAAGAAAGCUGUGGAGGAACUGGAAGUAGAUGAAGAGAAAAUCACAAUCAGAAUAUAUUAUGUGAGGAAAAUAUAUUUUCAAUAAAAGGGAAAAAAAGAAAAGAAAUCAGUUAUGAAAGUUUUGCUAUUUUCUGAAAGGAACAAAGGAAUGUAAACCUGGUCAGAUAAAUGGUAAUAGACUUUAAGUAUGCUUGAGUCUUUUAUUUGAACUAUCCAGUUUUGAACUUCUGGGCCUAACCUCUCAGAUUCUAAACUGUCUUUAGUCUUCUCAUAUUAAAAAUGAAGAUAAACACAGUUAUUUCAAUGAUAUAAAAGACUGUCCUCUCAAAUAUGUGGAAUUAGUUUUGUGUAAAAACAAAAGCAAAAAAAUUAUUUCAAUCUUAACAAUAAUAUGUUAUCCUAAUUCAAAUAAUGCCUACUUCAUGGCACUGACAUAGCAACCAUAUACAUUAAGUGUGGAAGUCUGCUUAGAAAAUUCCAGGUGUUAUCAACUUCACGUGUUCCAUGGAAAUGACCAGAUGUUUCUGAUACGUAGCACCUGAAAGAAUAAAUGAUGUUAUACCAAGUUAAGUGGCUGCUUUACAUUGUCAGCCAUGAGCAGGGUGGGCAGUUCAACCCGUUGCUGUCCAUGUUAUCUUCCAGAGACUCCAUGACAAUUGGUGUACAGAUGAGCAUCUGUUAUUACUACUGAAGCCAUAACUGCUCACUGAACUUCAGAUGACUCGCAGAGGAGAUUAUCUUUUUCCUUUCAUGACUUGGAAGCCAAAGUCCCAGACCAAAGCGAAGCAUCCAUCUGAUUCUAUGGUAACACAAACAUAAAGAAGCCAGAUGAGACAGUGCACUACCCUGGGACAGCUUAUAAAAAGCUGUAAAUGGUCUCAUCAGCCCUUUGGAGGAAAAUUUGUCCCAAUGUAUUCAGUAUGUGCAGUUUGUUCACUAGAACAGGGAAUGCUUUGUUAUAAUCUGAUUCUGCCCUAUUAAAGAUCUUGAGGCCACCCAGGAGGGACAGUGUAAGCAGCAGCCAGUUUUUCAUGGAUGAAGAAAGACCUAAUGAGGGAGAAACACGCAUUACAGGUGCAAUUCCAACUCCUUUCUCAGUAAAUAUCUGGCAACCCUCCAUGUUCAGAUAUGGGACACAUUGGAAUGAAACCAUUACUUGCUACAUCCCACCUCUGUUUUAAGCAGGGGUAUUUGUGCAUGUGCGCAUGCGUAUUAAAAUAUCAUUUUAAACAAUGGCUUCUCACUGACAUCAGAGGGCAUUAAAAGAUUAAUGUCAUCCUGUAAAAUGUUCUCUAAAUUUUGAACUUCAUCUGAGUCACCUCUGAUAAUUUAGAAUAGUGGUAAGUAGGUUAGGGCAUUUAUUCAAUUACAGUUUUUAAGUUAUAAAUCAUUCACAUUUAGGCGGAAUGAUUUUUGAUAUUAUACAUUUUUGCAAAGUGAAAAUGUAGAAACAAUGCAUAGCAUGUAUUUCUCAAGUCUCUACUUAAUGUGACUUUGCUAUCUCACAUUCAAUAUGUAGCAGACAAUUCUUCACACUGAGUACUUGUCAGGUUGGUGAUGCUCAGUGCGAAACCCCAUGACACUCCUCAUUUAUCAUGUUUUGUUUUCAUCUUCUCACUCUAGAUCUUUUAUUUAUUUAUUUAUUUAUUUAGGAAAGUUAUACUAAAAAGAAAGACGUGAUAUGACAGAGUGGCCACACACUUAAAGAAAGAAGAUUUGAUCUUCUUCUUCUGACUCUGGGCAUAUAUUUUUUAUUAUAUUUAUUACUCUUUAAUUCAGAAUUUCAACUACCACAUACAUUGCAGCACUGAACACAAAAUUGGCAUGAUUAAUAAUGAUAAUAAGAAACGAAGAGAAUACAGUCAGCCUUGGUCUAUAUACUGUUAAUGUAUUGCUAACCAAGAGUGGAAUAAACUCAUCUACACAUAUUCCUACCUAAUCCUUAUUUAAAUACUGUCUUUUAAAUACUUUUCCCCCCAUCCAUAGGUAAAGAAUUUCUUUUAGUUUCAGAUAUGCUCUCAAAAGAACCAUGAAACUAGGUCUCCAGCUCUGUAUACAACCACUAUGAUAUAGCAAUGAUCCCUUUUUGAAAAGGUAGAUGGACAUGAAGGAAGUAAAACAUACAAAGGGCUACAUAUUAGUUGCACAAGUCUCUGAAUCCUAAGGACAGGUAUCCUCUCUCAACCACAAGAGCUCCGUGCUGGCACAAAGAGCUGGGAGAAUAUAGGAGGUGGCUUUUGUUCACAUUAUUUAGCAUCUUGUGUUUGCUGCUUUUAAGGAAGUCAAUAGUCCAUGUUAUCUCGACUGUUUUGGGAGCAACCAUCCACAUUUGACAGUGUUCAGGUGCUUUUCUUUUGUGACAGGACCAAGUAUGUUUCACUGCUGCUUAUAAUAGUUCAAGAAGACAAAUGUUACUAAAUGAUCUUUAGUUUUCAGGAUGGUUCCUCAAAUCUAACACAUAGCUUAUAGAACUGUAAAUUAUAUCAUUAAUGAAUGAGACUACAAACCAAAUCUUCAAAGACUUCAAUGUACAUCAGAAUUAAUUAUCAUUACUAAUUUGCAAUGCAAAAAAGGACUGUCAAGUGAACCAAAAUUAGCCAUUACUAAUUCAAGUUAUAUUUUAUAGUCCUGUACUAUUUGCCUCCUCAUAACAAAGGGAAAUGUAGAAGCAAUCGAUGAGACUAUUUGGUUUGACCUAUCCAAACAUAACUCUUUCCUAGAAAAGCAUUUAGUUUCAGAUAACUCCGUCUUCUUUCAACUUCAUGUUGAAAGAAAUGAUUGGUUCCUUCAACCUAUGACUGCAUCAUAACAUUUACUAACACGUCUUUGUGGACAGGCAUAUUUGUGAAAAUAGCCUGGAACUCUGAGAAGUACGUUGACCUAGCAUGCACUAAUUAUAUGCAUAAGAAGUAAGGGAAAAUUUGUCCUUUGAGUGCUAUUGGGGAGAGAGGAUAUUCUCAUUUCUCAUCAUAUGACUAUGAUUGAACAUACAUUAAUUCUAUAUCAGAUGCACGAUAAGAAGAUGCAUUCAUUCUAAGACCUUGAAAUUAAAAAUCGAAUUACCCAUGACUCAUCCCAGAGCAACCAAAUUAUCCUCCUUUAUGAUUCAUAAACAAAAUCCCAAUACUAAAUCAGUGUGUCCACUACAUCGUUUUACUUUACUUCUGGGAAAAAAAAAUGCUGUUCUGAUUUUGUAUGUGUGCCUCUAGUUUUUUG